RNAcentral lists this ribosomal RNA (253 nucleotides) under uncultured microorganism. RNAcentral's name for it is "partial 16S ribosomal RNA". It matches the Rfam family "Bacterial small subunit ribosomal RNA", at positions 524 to 776 of the family's 1533-position model. The record is from RNAcentral.
GACAGAGGUGGCGAGCGUUGCUCGGAUUUACUGGGCUUAAAGGGCGCGUAGGUGGCCUUGUAAGUCAAAGGUGGAAUUCCACAGCUCAACUGUGGAACUGCCUUUGAUACUGCAAGGCUUGAGUCAGGUAGAGGGGGGUGGAAUUCCUGGUGUAGCAGUGAAAUGCGUAGAGAUCAGGAGGAACACCGGUGGCGAAGGCGGCCACCUGGUCAGAAACUGACGCUGAGGUACGAAAGCGUGGGGAGCAAACAGG